ACACGUACAUUAAACUCAACCUUUAAGUUGUUUAAUGAGAACCCAAAUUUGAGUAAAAAAAAAUUAAGCAAUUUAUUGAGUUUCCUAAUCAUAAAAUUUAAUUAUAAGAGUUUGAGUUGAUAAAAAUAAUCAAAAACUUAGAUCAUUUUGUUUAUACAUAUUACUGCAGGUAUUUAACGUAUUUAAAACUGUCCCAACAUUUCAUUCUAACCGAUGAAUCACACAAGUGUAUUUAAAUUGAUCAUUUAUUUUCAAACACUUUAAAAACAGUAAGUUGCGUAAAAAUAGCUCAACGUGUGGCAUUUAGACUGCGUUCUAGCCGUUGAGUAGUUUAAACUCAAAUUUGGUUGAAAAAAUGAGCCAGCCAUUUUGAAAUGUCAACGCUGUGAUCAUUCUGAAACCGUCAUCGUCUGCAUACGGCAUAACACUUAACAGUAGAAAAAUAGUGAGUUUCUUUAAAAAAAAAUCCCAAGGAUGGUGAAAUAAUUGUUUCUGAUGUCGUUUUAUACUGAAUUCCGGAAGCUGGCCAGAAAAUGUAACGAAUUAAUUGAAGGAGUUCAAUUUUCCUGGGUCCACGAUCUUUGCGCAAGAUAGCUGAAAUUUAUAAAAAGUGCCAGUUCCCGACUAAAAAACUACUGCGCUGUUCUCGAUAGCUGCCACAUGUUCAAAUUAUUGUUUGCCGUUCCUGCCAUCCGCCAUGAACGAUGGAAAAACGAGAAGGCCGUUCCGACUGUUGUUGCUGCGUUCUAGCAACCCAUCCACCAUCAUCAAAUGUUUCCGGAUAAAGAUACUCAAACUGAACGAAUAUGUUAUACAAAGCUUUCUCGAGCCCACGGCAAUCCGGUUAUGGAUCAUUGGAGCGAAUAGCGUUCGAUCAUUAACAAUUUUUGUUAGUACACAGUGCACUUCAUGAGUUAGAGGAUGAUAGCUUGAAAACAAAUCAUCGGAACCACCUUCCUGAGAAACCCACAUACUGUGCCUUAACUGCUGGAACGACCAAGAAAAGCCUUGAAAAUUAUUUGUCUAAAUAGAUUGUUUUAUUACUUUCAACAAUAAACUCUAGACUAGAUGUGUUAAAGCCUUA
This is a long non-coding RNA of Aedes aegypti (yellow fever mosquito), 1084 nucleotides long. RefSeq lists it as uncharacterized. The transcript has 3 exons. The record is from RefSeq and is a predicted model, not a curated record. Lineage: Eukaryota; Metazoa; Arthropoda; Insecta; Diptera; Culicidae.